This 400-nucleotide ribosomal RNA is filed under the name uncultured bacterium. RNAcentral's name for it is "bacterial SSU rRNA". It matches the Rfam family "Bacterial small subunit ribosomal RNA", at positions 355 to 769 of the family's 1533-position model. The record is from RNAcentral.
UGGGGAAUUUUCCGCAAUGGGCGAAAGCCUGACGGAGCAAUACCGCGUGAGGGAGGAAGGCUCUUGGGUUGUAAACCUCUUUUCUCAAGGAAGAAGACAAUGACGGUACUUGAGGAAUAAGCAUCGGCUAACUCCGUGCCAGCAGCCGCGGUAAUACGGAGGAUGCAAGCGUUAUCCGGAAUGAUUGGGCGUAAAGCGUCCGCAGGUGGCAAUGAAAGUCUGCUGUUAAAGAGUUUGGCUUAACCAAAUAAAAGCGGUGGAAACUACAUAGCUAGAGUACGUUCGGGGCAGAGGGAAUUCCUGGUGUAGCGGUGAAAUGCGUAGAGAUCAGGAAGAACACCGAUGGCGAAAGCGCUCUGCUAGGCCUGUACUGACACUGAGGGACGAAAGCUAGGGGAGC